GUUAUCCGGAAUUAUUGGGCGUAAAGAGCUCGUAGGCGGUUUGUCGCGUCUGCUGUGAAAACUGGAGGCUCAACCUCCAGCCUGCAGUGGGUACGGGCAGACUAGAGUGCGGUAGGGGAGAUUGGAAUUCCUGGUGUAGCGGUGGAAUGCGCAGAUAUCAGGAGGAACACCGAUGGCGAAGGCAGAUCUCUGGGCCGUAACUGACGCUGAGGAGCGAAAGCAUGGGGAGCGAACAGGAUUAGAUACCCUGGUAGUCCAUGCCGUAAACGUUGGGAACUAGAUGUAGGGGCCAUUCCACGGCUUCUGUGUCGCAGCUAACGCAUUAAAGUUCCCCGCCUGGGGAGUACGGCCGCAAGGCUAAAACUCAAAGGAAUUGACGGGGGCCCGCACAAGCGGCGGAGCAUGCGGAGUAAUUCGAUGCAACGCGAAGAACCUUACCAAGGCUUGACAUAUACGAGAACGGGCUAGAAAUAGUCAACUCUUUGGACACUCGUAAACAGGUGGUGCAUGGUUGUCGUCAGCUCGUGUCGUGAGAUGUUGGGUUAAGUCCCGCAACGAGCGCAACCCUCGUUCUUUGUUGCCAGCACGUCAUGGUGGGAACUCAAAGGAGACUGCCGGGGUCAACUCGGAGGAAGGUGGGGAUGACGUCAAAUCAUCAUGCCCCUUAUGUCUUGGGCUUCACGCAUGCUACAAUGGCCGGUACAAAGGGCUGCAAUACCGUAAGGUGGAGCGAAUCCCAAAAAGCCGGUCUCAGUUCGGAUUGAGGUCUGCAACUCGACCUCAUGAAGUCGGAGUCGCUAGUAACCGCAGA
RNAcentral lists this ribosomal RNA (811 nucleotides) under uncultured Microbacteriaceae bacterium. RNAcentral describes it as "bacterial SSU rRNA". It matches the Rfam family "Bacterial small subunit ribosomal RNA", at positions 540 to 1348 of the family's 1533-position model. The record is from RNAcentral. Lineage: Bacteria; Bacillati; Actinomycetota; Actinomycetes; Micrococcales; Microbacteriaceae.